This 450-nucleotide ribosomal RNA is filed under the name uncultured bacterium. RNAcentral describes it as "partial 16S ribosomal RNA". It matches the Rfam family "Bacterial small subunit ribosomal RNA", at positions 354 to 796 of the family's 1533-position model. The record is from RNAcentral.
GUGGGGAAUAUUGCGCAAUGGGCGAAAGCCUGACGCAGCGACGCCGCGUGAGGGAUGAAGGUUUUCGGAUCGUAAAGCUCUUUCGUUAGGGACGAACGUGCUCUUUGUGAAUAAUGAGGAGUAAUGACGGUACCUAAAUAAGAAGCCACGGCUAACUACGUGCCAGCAGCCGCGGUAAUACGUAGGUGGCAAGCGUUGUCCGGAAUUAUUGGGCGUAAAGCGCGCGCAGGCGGGAUAUCAAGUCUGUCUUAAAAGUGCGAGGCUCAACCUCGUGAGGGGACAGAAACUGGUAUUCUUGAGUGUCGGAGAGGAAAGUGGAAUUCCAAGUGUAGCGGUGAAAUGCGUAGAGAUUUGGAAGAACACCAGUGGCGAAGGCGACUUUCUGGACGAUGUCUGACGCUGAGGCGCGAAAGCUAGGGGAGCGAACGGGAUUAGAUACCCCAGUAGUCC